RNAcentral lists this transfer RNA (72 nucleotides) under Cavia porcellus (domestic guinea pig). It matches the Rfam family "tRNA". Rfam says of the family: Transfer RNA (tRNA) molecules are approximately 80 nucleotides in length. Lineage: Eukaryota; Metazoa; Chordata; Mammalia; Rodentia; Caviidae. The record is from Rfam by way of RNAcentral.
GGAGGUCUAGCUCAGUGGUAGAGCACUUGCCUACAAUGCUGGAGGCCCUGGGUUCUACUCCCAGGACAGCAA